GACGAACGCUGGCGGCGUGCCUAAUACAUGCAAGUCGAGCGGACCGAACAGGAGCUUGCUCUUGUUCGGUUAGCGGCGGACGGGUGAGUAACACGUGGGUAACCUGCCCGUAAGACCGGGAUAACUCCGGGAAACCGGAGCUAAUACCGGAUAACACCGAAGACCGCAUGGUCUUUGGUUGAAAGGCGGCUUCGGCUGCCACUUACGGAUGGGCCCGCGGCGCAUUAGCUAGUUGGUGAGGUAACGGCUCACCAAGGCGACGAUGCGUAGCUGGCCUGAGAGGGUGACCGGCCACACUGGGACUGAGACACGGCCCAGACUCCUACGGGAGGCAGCAGUAGGGAAUCUUCCGCAAUGGACGAAAGUCUGACGGAGCGACGCCGCGUGAGCGAAGAAGGUCUUCGGAUCGUAAAGCUCUGUUGUUAGGGAAGAAGAAGCGUCGUUCGAACAGGGCGGCGCGGUGACGGUACCUAACGAGAAAGCCCCGGCUAACUACGUG
This 499-nucleotide ribosomal RNA is filed under the name uncultured bacterium. Its description in RNAcentral is "partial 16S ribosomal RNA". It matches the Rfam family "Bacterial small subunit ribosomal RNA", at positions 28 to 507 of the family's 1533-position model. The record is from RNAcentral.